GUGAGCACCUUGCCCCGAGCUAUGUGCUCAGCUGGUGUACAUAAAGCUUUCAGGAUGUAGGGCAGGGUAUGCCUAUCCUGAGAGUCAAUGAUCCAUAACUGCCUCCCUCUUUCUACCCUGUCUGCACUGCCAAACGCAUUUCAUCUCUUUGGCUGCAUGUUUGGUGAGGCUCCCACGGUGUAUGGCCUGAGUGUUACCUUCCCAGUCCCUGCAAGGUAGAAAAGUUCUGCUACGCCCCACGUUACCCAUGGGGAAAUAAGGCGGUGCUUUGUUUGUAAUGUCUUUGAAAUCCAUGUUUGAAUAUAAAGAUCCAAAUGGCUCAAAUUGCAUCUGCAUGGCCUGGAGGAGCAGGAGCUCAGGUGCCAGCCAGUCUGGCUCUCAGCCCCGGGUUCCCUUUUUGGAGAGGCACACAGUUCUUCCCAGAUACCACUUGUUCGGAAAAGGUACAAUUGCACAUCAGCAAUUUGGUUUAAGAGACGACGUGGAUUGUUUUUGUGUUUCAUUUUGCUUCGCAUCUCCUGCAACAUUAAUUUUGGAGCAAACUUAUCAUUCAGUAAGCAAAUAAAGAAAUGAAUCACUUUGUUCCCAUUUCACAUAAACCUUUAAGUACAUCUAUAUACAAUUUCAUUUUCUAUCAUCUUUAUGUAUUGCCUGAUAUAUUAACAUGCUUUCCUAGCCUUCUCUUACUCUCUCACUGUUCUGUAGCUGCUCGAGAGACUUUUGUUGGAGCUUUCUUUUUGGUACUGAAGCAAAACCCUGUCAACAGAGCGCAAAAGCUUGUUUAAUGGCCUCUAGCUGGCCGCAGAUGCCUACAUUUCUGAAUAGUACUCAACAUCAGAAAACUGAACGUACCGUUAAUUAAAGCUUUCUUUUCAAAUGAUGCCAAAAUAGAAUAUUUGCUAGAAAGACUGCGCUUUUCCUCCGACAUGAAGGGAGAUGAAAGACAUUUACUCUGUGAUUUAAUUUGCAUUCUCUGAAGUGACUCUGUGAAAUGUCCUUUGCUAGUAGAGAAAGUACUUGUUGCUGAAAACCUAAAACAAAGUACUGCUUGUCACUUUUUAUACAGAGCGAGUCUUGCACAUGAAAAAUUAGUGACGGUGUAAAAGAGGAGAUAUAAGGUCACACACUUACUGGUUACCACAUCCUAGAAGGCUUUUCUUUUUUUUUUUUUUUUUCCCCAACCACAUUAAAUUAUCCACACCAAAUAUCUACUUUACGAUUGUUAUACACUGAUAUGUUAAUAUUUACAUUUGUCAUGUGAAGGAGUUGUAGACAAUACUGAAUAGACCUAAAUAGAAUCAUGGAAUCAUAGAAUCAUAGAAUGGCCUGGGUUGAAAAGGACCACAAUGAAAUAGUGCUUUCUUGAGUUUUACAGCGUAGAAAUGAGUUUUAUACUACCUUAUUCUGUACCCCUAAAACUGCAUUAAAAUUCUUGCUACAUUUUGGUUUCUUAUUUAUGAAUAUACAUAUAUUUCAAUAAGAAAAGUAGAAGAGUAUUUAAAUACAGUGUAAAUGAUCUGUAAAUUGUAUAGGCACUGCUUAUGAGAGACAGCAGAUAUACACUUUGGGUUACACAAGUGACAUCCAAGCUGUGAAGCAAGUAUCCUGGUCUUGGUUUUUCCAGUUGAGAAACAAGCUGAUAGGUGCCUACACCCCAACUUCCAGGCUACAUAACUUGCUUUUCCAGUCAGACCUGAAAGUACAACAGGAAAAGUGGUUUCAAGCUAUACAGAGUUCAGAUGUGACUGCAGUACGAACUUGGAGCUGCCAUCUGGGGAGACCACGCCAAAUAUGUACAGCACUUAGGUCUCUAAGAUCAGUUCAAGGCAAGAAGAAACAUACUGUUGUGCUCCUCCUGGAAAACCCCUUCCAACUCCCCUACACUUCAGAAAAAGAAGUUUCUGAACCAAUGGCCUGGCUCCAAAUUCUCCUCAGGCUGAUAACCCGUAUGAAGCAUACUGCAAACAGAAAUAUUUAUAUACUGUCUUCCAGCAUUGCUCAAGGUAACUCAGAUUACCAUAAGAAGGCGACUAUUGUUGCUCAUUUUUACAGUGUUUCUAUGCCUGUGCUAGGUGACAGCCCUCCUCCUAUUUUGGCAAUCUGCAUGAUUUUCAUGCUCAAAUGCCAGCCUCAUAUCC
RNAcentral lists this long non-coding RNA (2138 nucleotides) under Gallus gallus (chicken). RNAcentral's name for it is "lncRNA (ENSGALG00010008869.1)". Lineage: Eukaryota; Metazoa; Chordata; Aves; Galliformes; Phasianidae. The record is from RNAcentral.